Molecule: long non-coding RNA, 169 nt
Organism: Sphaeramia orbicularis (orbiculate cardinalfish)
Lineage: Eukaryota; Metazoa; Chordata; Actinopteri; Kurtiformes; Apogonidae
Exons: 3
Source: RefSeq, a predicted model, not a curated record
CUUUUGAAGAAAUGGAAGCUUUGCAAGUGUUCCAUGUGUCCCUUGCUGUCGUCUUUUUGGAGCGUUUCAUCCUUAACGCCAUGUUGACUACGUUCAGACCAAAACAAUGCAGCGUGCGUGUGAUGUCAUCACGCAUGCGCAACAAAGGCGGAAUCAGAAUCGUUAAGCA